UGACGCUGAGGCACGAAAGUGUGGGGAUCAAACAGGAUUAGAUACCCUGGUAGUCCACACUGUAAACGAUGAUAACUAGCUGUUGGCGAUACACAGUCAGUGGCCAAGCGAAAGCGAUAAGUUAUCCACCUGGGGAGUACGACCGCAAGGUUGAAACUCAAAGGAAUUGACGGGGGCCCGCACAAGCGGAGGAACAUGUGGUUUAAUUCGAUGAUACGCGAGGAACCUUACCCGGGCUCGAACGGUGCAGGAAUAUGGCAGAGAUGUCAUAGCUAGCAAUAGUCUGUAUCGAGGUGCUGCAUGGUUGUCGUCAGCUCGUGCCGUGAGGUGUCGGCUUAAGUGCCAUAACGAGCGCAACCCUUGUCGUUAGUUACCAUCAAGUAAAGUUGGGGACUCUAGCGAGACUGCCACCGUAAGGUGUGAGGAAGGGGGGGAUGACGUCAAAUCAGCACGGCCCUUACGUCCGGGGCGACACACGUGUUACAAUGGUAGGUACAGAGGGCCGCUACCCAGCGAUGGGGUGCCAAUCUCGAAAACCUAUCUCAGUUCGGAUCGGAGUCUGCAACUCGACUCCGUGAAGUUGGAUUCGCUAGUAAUCGCGCAUCAGCCAUGGCGCGGUGAAUACGUUCCCGGGCCUUGUACACACCGCCCGUCAAGCCAUGGAAGCCGGGGGUGCCUGAAGUUCGUUACCGCAAGGAGCGACCUAGGGCAAAACUGGUAACUGGGGCUAAGUCGUAACAAGGUAGCCGUACCGGAAGGUGUGGCUGGAUCACCUCCUU
Molecule: ribosomal RNA, 779 nt
Filed under: uncultured bacterium
Lineage: Bacteria
Description: bacterial SSU rRNA
Rfam family: Bacterial small subunit ribosomal RNA
Source: RNAcentral